CCUACGGGUGGCAGCAGUGAGGAAUAUUGGUCAAUGGGCGCGAGCCUGAACCAGCCAAGUAGCGUGAAGGAUGACUGCCCUACGGGUUGUAAACUUCUUUUAUAAAGGAAUAAAGUGAGGCACGUGUGCCUUUUUGUAUGUACUUUAUGAAUAAGGAUCGGCUAACUCCGUGCCAUCAGCCGCGGUAAUACGGGGGAUCCGAGCGUUAUCCGGAUUUAUUGGGUUUAAAGGGAGCGGAGAUUGGUUGUUAAGUCAGUUGUGAAAGUUUGCGGCUCAACCGUAAAAUUGCAAUUGAUACUGGCAGUCUUGAGUACAGUUGAGGUAGGCGGAAUUCGUGGUGUAGCGGUGAAAUGCUUAGAUAUCACGAAGAACUCCGAUUGCGAAGGCAGCUUACUAAACUGCCACUGACAUUGAUGCUCGAAAGUGUGGGUAUCAAACAGGAUUAGAUACCCUUGUAGUC
This 460-nucleotide ribosomal RNA is filed under the name uncultured bacterium. RNAcentral's name for it is "partial 16S ribosomal RNA". It matches the Rfam family "Bacterial small subunit ribosomal RNA", at positions 338 to 795 of the family's 1533-position model. The record is from RNAcentral.